UUUAUUCCCAAUUCCAUAGCCAACCAAACAUAAGCAUUCCAAAUUAUCCAGUAUUAACUCAUUAGUAAAUCUGUUGCUAAAGCUAUAAGGUAUCGAACUCAAAAUUCAAUAGAAGCCAAAUCAACCUAAAAAAAAUAAUAAAAGGAAAAGUAUAUGCAUUACAAGGCUGACACAAAACAACUGAGAAUCUCAAGUGAAAAUUUGGAGGACCACUGCAUUAUAUCUAGACAAUUAUUAAAUCAGGAACAACAGAGAAGAAAAUACGCCAUGGAAUCUUACCAAGUUGCUAUCUAUAUGCUACAUAUGUGUGAUCCACCACCUACACAGGACACGAAUAGCAAUUUACAUUACAGAAACAUCCAAUGAAAUUUUUUCUCUAUGUCCAAAACUUCCUGCAGAUUUAUUGUCUUCUCCCAUCUUCUACAAGAAUGAAUUUUUUUACUGUAAACUCUACUGAAAUAUCUGUGAGACUGUGGUUUUAUGCUCUACCCUUCCUCUUAUCAUCCAAUGCCUUGCUUUGGAACAUUCUCAUUGUCAACACAAGAGUAUCACGUGUCCUAACAUCAUAUGUAUUGAGAGGAUGAGAAGAUCCACUAGAACAUGUUAAAACAAAUUGUGUUGAGACUCCAGAAGGAAUUUUGAUUGAUAAAUUCUUUGAAAAUUUCUCUGCAAUCAGCUCAACUUCCUCACUUAUGCUCUUGAUUUGAUAGCGUGAUCGUUGCAAAACUAGAAAUGCUGAUUCCCAAUGGUCGGAAGAGUCUGUCAGCAACUGAACACUAAAUGUGGCUUCACCUUUAGACAUGUAUAAGUCAAUCUCCUGGUGCAUGUCUGGGUCACAUUUUAUUUUGUUCUGAUCAUUUGCAAAAAGCCUCACCAGUUCUCCCUGAUAGAAUAAACAAUAAGAAAACAAGAUUCUCGAACAUCACAAAUAUCAAAAGCUGCAUUAUUUUUUAUUAGAAACAUAGAUAAUGAAAUAAGUCAAAUUUCUAGAAAGUAGAAACGGAGACCAUUCAUUUCAAACAACAAAGUGGAUUUGGACACAAAAAUUCCAAUGAUUGAACCAAAAGCAAGGCAAGCAUUGAGGUUCAAAAAUUUGUCUUCAUAAGGACCAUCAGACUGCCUAUCCAAUUUAAAAAUCAUUUAAAAGCAUUGAAAAACAGGAAUGACAGUUUGUUGUAAUUUUGGAAAAUUGUGAUUCCUGGUGCAUAAUUACAUAUGUCACAGAAGGUGUUAAAAAUACCAUGAAUGACUGUAGUCUCCGUAUGAGGAAAUGUGUAUAUGCUUAUGUGUUUGGAACUAUUAAUUAUUAAAAAAAGAUAAAUACCUUUUUAUUAAUAUUAUGGAUAAUGAAAAACAUUUGAGCAACCAAGUCCUUUCAUAUCAUGGUGAAAAAAGGAAGAUAGUCUGUUAAAAGACAACAGUACCAAUUUUCUGGAAUUCUAGUGUUGUAAUAAAGUGUCUAGAAUUUCAUUGCAUUUUUAAAAAUUCAAUGGUUGUGGUCAUUUUUAAUGAAAGCAGCCACAUCUACAUGAAGAAAUUUGAUUUCAGAGACCAAGUUUUGCUACACAGUAACAUUACAGUUUAAUUUCCUUGGCUAAGAAAAAUGCUUGGUAGGUAAUCAAAGAAAUAUUAUUUAUUAGUUAACCUGACGGCCUUGGUCAUCCAUUGGUAUGCACUCAACAGCAAUCAGCUUAUCGACAUCAUCAGCAGUGACAACAUAUUCUGGAUUCGUGGCUCCUUCAAUAUAUUGCCUAGUGCCAUCCUCAAGAUGGCGAACCCACUGAAACAUGCAAAGAGAAGUUCCACGCACAGGAUAUCCACAUCCAAGGAGUUUUUCUCCAGGUGUAGCUUCACCAAUAAUCUGAAACCCAUCUAUUCCAGGACCCUCUAAAAUGCAGCAAGUCAUAUUAAACUUUUAAACAGAGGUCACAAACUUGUUUCUAGAUGAGAACUUCACUUACCUUCAGAAACUGAGGAACCAAUCUCAUCAUGUGUGGUGGAAGGAUGCAGCAAGUCCUUGGUCAUAUCUCCUGUUCUCAUAUUCAUGACACCUUUAUCAAAUAAACUAUUGGAGAGAGGACCAGUAACCUUCCUAGAAGGAUCAAAUGAGAAAUCUGAGAAAUUGUUCUUGUUUAACUGCUGAUGCGUCUUGUCUGCCAUAUCAAUUUCACGUCUAUAUCUCAUCAUUUUAUUAGUAGGCUCCAGAUGCCAUUCGUCUAUAUAGUGAUUAGAAGGAGAAAUGCCAUUUUUAAUCGUGGAUUGAUGAGGAGAUUGACGCAUCAAGUUGCCAGUACCAGUGUUAUCUUUAUCAUGAAAUUCACUCUCAUUACGAAAGCCCACCACUAAAUCUCUGAUUUUAUCCUGUAAUAAAUGUAAAUCCAUGCCAAUAUUAUCAUUUCAAAUUGUAAAUCAACAUUACAAUUUAUGAGAUGACAAAGAAAAGGUUACAAUUCAAAAAUACUUCAGUAACAUAUCUGUAAACAAAGGAGAAACAAUCUUGGUUCAAGAAUUAAAAUGGCAAGUUAUGAUAAAAUGUUUCAGUAAGUUUGUGAGAGGCAUGUAGGUAGGUAAAUCUGCAAGUAUGUGAAGUUCUAAUCUUUGACUGUAAUUGAUUGUGCAGAUGCUGCAUGACAUCAAGAAAAGCAAAGUUAUAUCAAAUUUGGUAAACAUAUUAUUCAUAGACAAUUAGGAUACAUGUUGGUAAUUAAAACAGUUUUUAGGCAUCAUGUCCGCCUGCCAGCCAAUGGGAGAAUAAACAGGAGGAAAAAUAACAAACAAACUAUCAAGUAACAGUGAGUACAACAGAAGCAAUCAAGGCUUUCGUACUAUCACAUGGACUUAGAAUAGUUCAUGACAGUGUUUGAACAAUGUUGAUUGUACAAUCACUUGUGGAAAUUCUAACAAAAAAAUUAUGUUGUUUGUACAAAAAGCUUUGGCCUGGAAAAUAUCCUAAUCGCUGAAUUCAUAUAAUACAGACAUUAUAAUUCAAUGAAGAAACUAGGAGUCCCUCAGGAGGUGAAGAACCUUUAAUACAUGAGAUUUCAGUUAGCAGGUCUUAUGUCAGGGAUACAUGUGCACAACACUAGGCAGUUCAGCUAUAUGUCCAGUAUAUAUCUAUAAAUAUUUAACAUCUAUUAUUACAUUAAAGGUGCCGUUUGGUUCUUACUUCUUAUUACUAAUUUAGUAUUUUUUGCUGAACAUUAAUGCACAUAAAUGAUAUACGUUGUGAAUUUGAUUGAAGAUUGAAGAGACUGCAAAGCAGAAUAAAUUCACAGCAUGUUAGUGGUUCAACACAAAAAAUAAAUAGCAUUUUCUCAUGCCUGGCAAAAGAAUUGGCAAAAUUGAAAAGGGAACAAUGCACCUUAUAAACUGUAAAAUGGACAUGUGUCCACUUGUCACAGAUAUAUGUGAAGUAAAUAAUUAAUACCGUUAUGCUGUUGGAUACAGCAGAGGCAUUUAUGACAUGGGGCCAAACACCAUAUUCAGCCAGUAAGCCAAGCAUGGAUGACGUGAAAAUAUAUCUCUCAUCAUCUACAACCUUCAAAUCAUGGGCCAAUUUUAAGUUUUCUUCAAGAUCGCCUUUUCUGCGAACCAAUUCAUUCAAGGCAGAUGUAAUAGCUUCAUUUUGCUUCUCAUCAAUUGCCAUUCUCAAGUCAGAAAACUUCCUUUCCAACACAUAUUUUUCAUUCAGCAGUUGCAGCUCCCUAACAUAAGCAGCUGCAAUUUGUUUACGGAGAAUCUGGAUCUCUUCUUUCUGUGCUCUUACUCGUGAAUACAGCUCCACUGCCUCUCUGUCUUCAGAAUAAUUGAAAUUUUCAUCACCUUUUAACCUCCUUUGUGUAAGAGGUGCUUCAAUAUUAUGCCUGUUUAUAGAAUUAGAGCUUUGAGUCUGAGCCCCAUCAUUGUUAAGCCCUUGCAUAGGGCUUUUACUUGAAGACAUUGCAUUGGCUUAGGUUCCCUUCAAGACUCCCUCUGAUUGAAUGACAUCCAAAGUUUUCCAUGAUCACCACCUAAAUCAUGCAUUUUACCUCAUUUUAUUCCCCACUUUCUUUUUGCCCAGAAGGUGAAACGUUCCUUUACAGGUUGCCACUCCCAAGUGGUUUAAGUUACUUCAACUGUUUGAUGAAGAACCACAGAGAGAGAUCGAAUCCUAUUGUAAAAGAUAACAGAAAAAGAUACCCCAAAUCAAAAGGCUAGCAGAUAGAUCCAUCAGCUCACGUAUACGUACAUUCUAGAGAGAGAGUCUGUUAAUUAAAAUCAAGCGUUGGCCUCUGGGAACAGUAUCUUAUUUUUUU
RNAcentral lists this unclassified non-coding RNA (4295 nucleotides) under Hevea brasiliensis (rubber tree). The record is from RNAcentral. Lineage: Eukaryota; Viridiplantae; Streptophyta; Magnoliopsida; Malpighiales; Euphorbiaceae.